Molecule: small nuclear RNA, 110 nt
Organism: Sorex araneus (European shrew)
Lineage: Eukaryota; Metazoa; Chordata; Mammalia; Eulipotyphla; Soricidae
Source: RefSeq, a predicted model, not a curated record
GUGCUCCCUUCGGUAGCAAAUAUACUAAAACUGGAACGAUACAGAGAAGAUUAGCAAGACCCCUGCGCAGGGUGACAGGCAAAAAGUUUCAAUAAAGAAAAAAAAUUCUC